UGGGGAAUAUUGCACAAUGGGCGCAAGCCUGAUGCAGCCAUGCCGCGUGUGUGAAGAAGGCCUUCGGGUUGUAAAGCACUUUCAGCGGGGAGGAAGGCGAUAAGGUUAAUAACCUUGUCGAUUGACGUUACCCGCAGAAGAAGCACCGGCUAACUCCGUGCCAGCAGCCGCGGCAAUACGGAGGGUGCAAGCGUUAAUCGGAAUUACUGGGCGUAAAGCGCACGCAGGCGGUCUGUCAAGUCGGAUGUGAAAUCCCCGGGCUCAACCUGGGAACUGCAUUCGAAACUGGCAGGCUCGAGUCUUGUGGAGGGGGGUAGCAUACCAGGUGUAGCGGUGUAAUGCGUAGAGAUCUGGAGGAGUACCGGGGGCGAAGGCGGCCCCCUGGACAAAGACUGACGCUCAGGUGCGAAAGCGUGGGGAGCAAACAGG
This 429-nucleotide ribosomal RNA is filed under the name Chloroflexota bacterium. RNAcentral's name for it is "Chloroflexi bacterium partial 16S ribosomal RNA". It matches the Rfam family "Bacterial small subunit ribosomal RNA", at positions 355 to 776 of the family's 1533-position model. The record is from RNAcentral. Lineage: Bacteria; Bacillati; Chloroflexota.